UCGAGAAUCUUCCGCAAUGGGCGCAAGCCUGACGGAGCGACGCCGCGUGCGGGAUGAAGGCCUUCGGGUUGUAAACCGCUGUCAGUGGGGAGCAAAUCGGUGGGGGCAAUCCCCCAUUGUUGAGCGAUCCGCAGAGGAAGCACAGGCUAAGUUCGUGCCAGCAGCCGCGGUAACACGAACUGUGCAAACGUUAUUCGGAAUCACUGGGCUUAAAGAGUCCGUAGGCGGCUCGGUAGGUGGGGUGUGAAAGCCCACGGCUCAACCGUGGAAUUGCGCCCCAAACCAUCGGGCUCGAGGGAGAUAGAGGAGAGCGGAACUGAUGGUGGAGCGGUGAAAUGCGUUGAUAUCAUCAGGAACACCGGUGGCGAAAGCGGCUCUCUGGGUCUCUUCUGACGCUGAGGGACGAAAGCUAGGGGAGCGAACGGGAUUAGAUACCCCCGUAGUCC
This 446-nucleotide ribosomal RNA is filed under the name uncultured prokaryote. RNAcentral's name for it is "bacterial SSU rRNA". It matches the Rfam family "Bacterial small subunit ribosomal RNA", at positions 355 to 796 of the family's 1533-position model. The record is from RNAcentral.